AGCGUACACGGUGGAUGCCUAGGCAAUCAGAGGCGAUGAAGGACGUGCUAAUCUGCGAUAAGCGUCGGUAAGGUGAUAUGAACCGUUAUACCCGACGAUUUCCGAAUGGGGAAACCCAAUAUCCAAUGGAUAUUAUCAUGACGUGAAUACAUAGCGUCAUGAAGCGAACCGGGAGAACUGAAACAUCUCAGUACCCCGAGGAAAAGAAAUCAACCGAGAUUCCCCUAGUAGCGGCGAGCGAACGGGGAACAGCCCAGAGUCUUAAUCAAUAGCAGCAUCAGGAGAACGGUCUGGAAAGUCCGGCAGUAAAGGGUGAUAGCCCCGUAUCCGAAGAUGCUGUUAUUGUGAACUCGACGAGUAGGGCGGGACACGUGUUAUCCUGUCUGAAUAUGGGGGGACCAUCCUCCAAGGCUAAAUACUCCUGAUUGACCGAUAGUGAACCAGUACCGUGAGGGAAAGGCGAAAAGAACCCCGGCGAGGGGAGUGAAAAAGAACCUGAAACCGUGUACGUACAAGCAGUAGGAGCCUCUUUAUGGGGUGACUGCGUACCUUUUGUAUAAUGGGUCAGCGACUUAUAUUCUGUAGCGAGGUUAACCGUAUAGGGGAGCCGUAGGGAAACCGAGUCUUAACUGGGCGAAUGAGUUGCAGGGUAUAGACCCGAAACCCGGUGAUCUAUCCAUGGGCAGGUUGAAGGUUGGGUAACACUAACUGGAGGACCGAACCGACUAAUGUUGAAAAAUUAGCGGAUGACUUGUGGAUGGGGGUGAAAGGCCAAUCAAACCGGGAGAUAGCUGGUUCUCCCCGAAAGCUAUUUAGGUAGCGCCUCGUGAACUCAUCUUCGGGGGUAGAGCACUGUUUCGACUAGGGGGUCAUCCCGACUUACCAACUCGAUGCAAACUGCGAAUACCGAAGAAUGUUAUCACGGGAGACACACGGCGGGUGCUAACGUCCGUCGUGAAGAGGGAAACAACCCAGACCGCCAGCUAAGGUCCCAAAGUCAUGGUUAAGUGGGAAACGAAGUGGGAAGGCUCAGACAGCCAGGAUGUUGGCUUAGAAGCAGCCAUCAUUUAAAGAAAGCGUAAUAGCUCACUGGUCGAGUCGGCCCGCGCGGAAGAUGUAACGGGGCUAAACCAUGCACCGAAGCUGCGGCAGCGAACGUAUCACUUAAAUUUGUUUGAGUGAAAAACGAUUGACGGAACGAAGUGACGUCAAUGCGUCCAUUAAAGUCGAGGCGAAAGCCAGAUAAGCGAAUUUAAGGAUACGUUCGUUGGGUAGGGGAGCGUUCUGUAAGCCUGCGAAGGUGUACUGUGAGGUAUGCUGGAGGUAUCAGAAGUGCGAAUGCUGACAUAAGUAACGAUAAUGCGGGUGAAAAACCCGCACGCCGGAAGACCAAGGGUUCCUGUCCAACGUUAAUCGGGGCAGGGUGAGUCGACCCCUAAGGCGAGGCUGAAAAGCGUAGUCGAUGGGAAACGGGUUAAUAUUCCCGUACUGGUGGUAACUGCGAUGGGGGAACGGAGAAGGCUAGGUUGUCCGGGCGACGGUCGUCCCGGUUCAAGCAUGUAGGCAGAGUGAUUAGGCAAAUCCGGUCACUUAAUGCUGAGGUGUGAUGACGAACCACUAAGGUGGUGAAGCAAUUGAUGCCCUGCUUCCAGGAAAAGCCUCUAAGCUUCAGGUUACCAACAAUCGUACCCCAAACCGACACAGGUGGUCAGGUAGAGAAUACUCAGGCGCUUGAGAGAACUCGGGUGAAGGAACUAGGCAAAAUGGUGCCGUAACUUCGGGAGAAGGCACGCUGGCGGUAAGUGAAGUCCCUCGCGGACGGAGCCGAAGCCAGUCGAAGAUACCAGCUGGCUGCAACUGUUUAUUAAAAACACAGCACUGUGCAAACACGAAAGUGGACGUAUACGGUGUGACGCCUGCCCGGUGCUGGAAGGUUAAUUGAUGGGGUUAUCCGUAAGGAGAAGCUCUUGAUCGAAGCCCCAGUAAACGGCGGCCGUAACUAUAACGGUCCUAAGGUAGCGAAAUUCCUUGUCGGGUAAGUUCCGACCUGCACGAAUGGCGUAAUGAUGGCCAGGCUGUCUCCACCCGAGACUCAGUGAAAUUGAACUCGCUGUGAAGAUGCAGUGUACCCGCGGCAAGACGGAAAGACCCCGUGAACCUUUACUAUAGCUUGACACUGAACAUUGAGCCUUGAUGUGUAGGAUAGGUGGGAGACUAUGAAGUGUGGACGCCAGUCUGCAUGGAGUCAACCUUGAAAUACCACCCUUUAACGUUUGAUGUUCUAACCUAG
RNAcentral lists this ribosomal RNA (2290 nucleotides) under Proteus sp. CA142267. RNAcentral describes it as "bacterial LSU rRNA". It matches the Rfam family "Bacterial large subunit ribosomal RNA", at positions 14 to 2230 of the family's 2925-position model. The record is from RNAcentral. Lineage: Bacteria; Pseudomonadati; Pseudomonadota; Gammaproteobacteria; Enterobacterales; Morganellaceae.